GUGAUGAGGUCGGCAAGUAAAAUCACCAGUACCUGAAUGCUGCACCUUUGCAUUUGUUAUUGUGGGUGAUCUUAUGGGAGCAAAAUUUGAGGUAGUUACAGGAAAAGCUCCUACAACUCCUGUCUGCAGAGUUGCCUGUGAUGCAGGCAUCAUAGGUGAUGAAAUUGGUGCAGAACCAAAUACCGGAGUUAUUGAUGAAUUAGGCAAUGGCGUACCAAGUGAAGAUUGGAUUGGGGUAGGAGCAGAGGAAGGUCCCACUUGAGGUCGUGGAACAGAAGUAAAAGUUGGGGCUGUGGUAGGACGGUUCAUAGAAGCUG
Molecule: long non-coding RNA, 317 nt
Filed under: Populus trichocarpa (black cottonwood)
Lineage: Eukaryota; Viridiplantae; Streptophyta; Magnoliopsida; Malpighiales; Salicaceae
Description: long non-coding RNA (PTRI_LNC001081)
Source: RNAcentral